RNAcentral lists this ribosomal RNA (492 nucleotides) under uncultured bacterium. RNAcentral describes it as "bacterial SSU rRNA". It matches the Rfam family "Bacterial small subunit ribosomal RNA", at positions 28 to 521 of the family's 1533-position model. The record is from RNAcentral.
GAUGAACGCUAGCGGCAGGCCUAACACAUGCAAGUCGAGGGGUAGAACACUUCGGUGUUUGAGACCGGCGCACGGGUGCGUAACGCGUAUGCAAUCUACCUUGUACAGGGGAAUAGCCCAGAGAAAUUUGGAUUAAUGCCCCAUAGUAUAUAACCUUCGCAUGUUGGUUAUAUUAAAGUUCCAACGGUACAAGAUGAGCAUGCGUCCCAUUAGUUAGUUGGUAAGGUAACGGCUUACCAAGACGAUGAUGGGUAGGGGUUCCUGAGAGGGAGAUCCCCCACACUGGUACUGAGACACGGACCAGACUCCUACGGGAGGCAGCAGUGAGGAAUAUUGGUCAAUGGUCGCAAGACUGAACCAGCCAUGCCGCGUGCAGGAAGACGGUCCUAUGGAUUGUAAACUGCUUUUGACAGGGAAGAAAUCACUUAUGCGUAAGUGUCUGACGGUACCUGUAGAAUAAGCACCGGCUAACUCCGUGCCAGCAGCCGCGGU